RNAcentral lists this ribosomal RNA (621 nucleotides) under Triticum aestivum (bread wheat). RNAcentral's name for it is "partial small subunit ribosomal RNA". The record is from RNAcentral. Lineage: Eukaryota; Viridiplantae; Streptophyta; Magnoliopsida; Poales; Poaceae.
AUGGAAGGAGCUCCCGUGACUGCUGCCACGGGGGCGUUGGGGCCCGUUGUAGCGAAGCUGGGUGCUCUGCUGGGCAGCGAGUGCAAGCUCCGGCGCCGGACUCGCAAGGACGUCAAGUUCAUCAGAUCAAAGCUCAAGCAUGUGCACUCCAUCCUCUGGGCGGCAUGGGGGCAGGAGAUUCUUGAUGCAGAAUCCAAGGAACUGAAGAAGGAGGCGCUGGAUCUCGCCGAUGACAUGCUUGAUGCCAUCGACGACUUCAACCUCACUUUGGAGGGCAGCCGCAGAAGCAAGCGCUUGAUGGUGCAGACCAAGAUCAAAGCAAGCCCCUUCCAAGAUUUCAGGGCAAGAGUGGAUGAAGUGUCGGUCCGGUGCCGCAGCAAGUGGAAGUCUGCUCAGCCCAUCUCCAGCUUAUUUUCAAGGAAGAAAAACAACCACCCCAGAAUACCGCCUCCUCGAGCUCCAUUUGUUCGCAAGGAUGCGGCGGACAUCUUUGGAAUGGACAGAUGGAAGAAUGACCUCAUCACAUACCUGAUAGGAGAAGGAGGAGAAGAAGAAGGGACCACAGCGGUGCAGCAGCAGCUCAAAACCGCAUCCAUUGUUGGAAUGGCUGGUGUGGGGUAA